This 253-nucleotide ribosomal RNA is filed under the name uncultured bacterium. Its description in RNAcentral is "partial 16S ribosomal RNA". It matches the Rfam family "Bacterial small subunit ribosomal RNA", at positions 524 to 776 of the family's 1533-position model. The record is from RNAcentral.
UACGUAGGGCGCAAGCGUUAUCCGGAAUUAUUGGGCGUAAAGAGCUCGUAGGCGGUUUGUCGCGUCUGCCGUGAAAGUCCGGGGCUCAACUCCGGAUCUGCGGUGGGUACGGGCAGACUAGAGUGAUGUAGGGGAGACUGGAAUUCCUGGUGUAGCGGUGAAAUGCGCAGAUAUCAGGAAGAACACCAGCGGCGAAGGCGGCACUCUGGGCCGGAACUGACGCUGAGGAGCGAAAGCGUGGGUAGCAAACAGG